CUGAGUGGGCACACAGUAGCAAAGCUUUAAAGUGAAGGCAGGUUAAAGUUUCACACUGGCGGAAGUUAACUGAACUUUCUGAAACCGGAUGUAGAAGUGGAGAAUCGAUGACGGCUAUUAUGCGAAAUGUUGAGGAAAAAGUAUGGCAGUGUUGCGUUUUUCUUGCAUGGCGAAGGGCUGCCGAACAGGGCUCAAAGAAAUCUGGCGCAAACGGUCCUUAAUAGGUUAGUUGAUUUCCUGUUCCUUAACUUAAUGGUCAAUUAACUUGAAAAUAGUUUCUUUCAAAUUGAAUUAAGUUUCACUGAAUCUGGAAAUAGUUUCACUUGAUUCGAAUAAAGUUUCGCUUCAUAUGAAAAA
Long non-coding RNA from Rhagoletis pomonella (apple maggot), 357 nucleotides. RefSeq lists it as uncharacterized. NCBI's taxonomy places the organism in Eukaryota, Metazoa, Arthropoda, Insecta, Diptera, Tephritidae. The transcript is spliced from 2 exons. The record is from RefSeq and is a predicted model, not a curated record.